UAAUACGGAGGGUGCAAGCGUUGUUCGGAAUUACUGGGCGUAAAGAGCUCGUAGGUGGCUUUGUAAGUCAGAUGUGAAAUACUUUUGCUCAACGAGAGAAUUGCAUUUGAAACUGCAUAGCUUGAGUACGGGAGAGGGAAGUGGAAUUCCAGGUGUAGCGGUGAAAUGCGUAGAUAUCUGGAAGAACACCGGUGGCGAAGGCGACUUCCUGGACCGAUACUGACACUGAGGAGCGAAAGCGUGGGGAGCAAACAGGAUUAGAUACCCUGGUAGUCCACGCCGUAAACGAUGGGCACUAGGUGUAGGGGGUUUAUCCUUCUGUGCCGAAGCUAACGCAUUAAGUGCCCCGCCUGGGGAGUACGGUCGCAAGGCUA
Molecule: ribosomal RNA, 374 nt
Filed under: uncultured bacterium
Lineage: Bacteria
Description: bacterial SSU rRNA
Rfam family: Bacterial small subunit ribosomal RNA
Source: RNAcentral